GGAGGAGUUAUAGGGAGAGGUUAUAUGGAGUAAUAGGAGGAGUUAUAGCGAGAGGUUAUAUGGAGUAAUAGGAGGAGUUAUAUGGAGAGGAUAUAUGGAGUAAUAGGAGGAGUUAUAGCGAGAGGUUAUAUGGAGUAAUAGGAGGAGUUAUAUGGAGAGGUUAUAUGGAGUAAUAGGAGGAGUUAUAGGGAGAGGUUAUAUGUAGUAAUAGGAGGAGUUAUAGGGAGAGGUUAUAUGGAUUAAUAGGAGGAGUUAUAGGGAGAGGUUAUAUGGAGUAAUAGGAGGAGUUAUAGAGAGAGGUUAUAUGGAGUAAUAGGAGGAGUUAUAGAGAGAGAGGUUAUAUGGAGUAAUAGGAGGAGUUAUAGGGAUAGGUUAUAUGGGGUAACAGGAGGAGUUAUAGGGAGAGGUUAUAUGGAGUAAUAGGAGGAGUUAUAGGGAGAGGUUAUAUGGAGUAAUAGGAGGAGUUAUAGGGAGAGGUUAUAUGGAGUAAUAGGAGGAG
Molecule: non-coding RNA, 499 nt
Organism: Pelobates cultripes (western spadefoot toad)
Lineage: Eukaryota; Metazoa; Chordata; Amphibia; Anura; Pelobatidae
Source: the annotation of a GenBank genome assembly